RNAcentral lists this ribosomal RNA (871 nucleotides) under Pestalotiopsis funereoides. RNAcentral describes it as "LSU rRNA". It matches the Rfam family "Eukaryotic large subunit ribosomal RNA", at positions 68 to 964 of the family's 3401-position model. The record is from RNAcentral. Lineage: Eukaryota; Fungi; Ascomycota; Sordariomycetes; Amphisphaeriales; Sporocadaceae.
ACAGGGAUUGCCUUAGUAACGGCGAGUGAAGCGGCAACAGCUCAAAUUUGAAAUCUGGCCCUCGGGUCCGAAUUGUAAUUUGUAGAGGAUGAUUUUGGUGCGGUAUCUUCCGAGUUCCUUGGAACAGGACGCCUUAGAGGGUGAGAGCCCCGUACGGUUGAAUGCCUAGCCUCUGUAAAUCUCCUUCGACGAGUCGAGUAGUUUGGGAAUGCUGCUCUAAAUGGGAGGUAAAUUUCUUCUAAAGCUAAAUAUUGGCCAGAGACCGAUAGCGCACAAGUAGAGUGAUCGAAAGAUGAAAAGCACUUUGAAAAGAGGGUUAAAUAGCACGUGAAAUUGUUGAAAGGGAAGGAUUUGUGACCAGACUUUUUCUGGGCGGAUCAUCCGGGGUUCUCUCCGGUGCACUUUGCCCAGUAAAGGCCAGCAUCGAUUUUCGGCGGCGGAUAAAAGCAGUGGGAAUGUGGCUCCCCACGGGGAGUGUUAUAGCCCAUUGUAUAAUACGCUGCUGGGGAUCGAGGUACGCGCUUCUGCAAGGAUGCUGGCGUAAUGGUUAUCAAUCACCCGUCUUGAAACACGGACCAAGGAGUCGAACAUUUAUGCGAGUGUUUGGGUGUUAAACCCUCACGCGUAAUGAAAGUGAACGGAGGUGAGAGCCCGUACGGGUGCAUCAUCGACCGAUCCUGAAGUUUUCGGAUGGAUUUGAGUAAGAGCAUAACUGUUCGGACCCGAAAGAUGGUGAACUAUGCGUGGAUAGGGUGAAGCCAGAGGAAACUCUGGUGGAGGCUCGCAGCGGUUCUGACGUGCAAAUCGAUCGUCAAAUCUGCGCAUGGGGGCGAAAGACUAAUCGAACCAUCUAGUAGCUGGUUACCGCCGA